UUUUAUCCAGAAGCUUCUGCCUUUCCUUUUCCCAGCUGAUCUCUUUGUUGGCCAUUUGCUCCUUCAGAGCAGCAUUUUCUGAGGCCAGCUGCCUGUGUACUGAUUUUGAGUCUUUAAGGGCUCGUCGCAGAGCGUGCAGGGCUCUGCCUGGAGAAUGCUGUGAGCACUGAAAGACACAAAUAUACAUGCAAUACGUAAAAAUAUUGUCCCGUGUUAACUUUGAAUACACAGAAAAAGAGGGGAUCUUUCACACAUCUGAAGCUAUCUGUAGUAAAAGAGCCCUACAUCACUGGCAGCAAAAUGAAAUGUCCCUCAUUCACAGCUUCAGCAAAAACAGUCAAAUUCUCAAUUUACUAUUGAGUAAUAGUAUUUCAGUAAAAUGUUGUUUUGUGUUUCACUUAAAUAUAGUCAAAAUAGAAAUAUCCUCAAGCCAACUGCACAAUAUCCAGAAAUGUCUUGUAAACUACAGCGACACAAAGUCUGUCACCUUGUGUCCCCGACUCACAGUAAACACAUUACAGCAAUGAUGUUGUAAAACUCUAAACACUGAAAACAUUAUGACAUUGUACAGUUCACAUGUCUCAAUACAACACAUUCAUGUAAAUUAGAAACUAAAUAUAAAGAAACUCAGUCAGCUCACUGGCCAGACCUCUGAAUCGCUGCCCUCUCUUCAAAAAUAUUUAUAAAUACUAUAUUUGUUGAAGCUUUGGACAAAAGAUGUAGUGUCUCCUGGUUCAGAAAAUCUUACCUCGUCUCUUGAGUUUGUCUCCAUGUUGGCUGAACACAGGGAUCGGUGUUGGAGAUAUACUACUGUAGUGUUGCUUGUGGUUGUAGUGUACCUUGGGUGGUUGUGUACCGCAGGUUUUGACGUCUUUGGUUCUAGUCGAGAUCUAAUUUCUGUAGUUUUGGUCUGUUGACACUGGGAGAUGUUUCUCUGUUGGAGGUCAGGUUGCAUCUAACUGGAGUUUGUCAGGAGGCUUUAAUCCAACAGAACAUUCUGUUGGACAUUCUGCAUGAUGUCAUAACGGGCUCCAUAUUGUGUCAUCAAAGGUUUCAGAGUGGGACGACGGUCAUCAAAGGUUUCAGAAUGAGAUGACAUCACAUGAAUUCAGUGUUCUCCUUGUCACAAGGCAGGCCAGACCUUUUCACCUUGUACGAUAAACUAUACGCUUUCUACUUGAAAAAUUAAAAGUACAAAAAGCACAAGUGCAGGUUCCACUAAUAUCGCCCAAGAUGUCUUAUAUAAUAUAAUCACUAUAGGUCUUUUUUUAACAUCAUAAUAUAGAAUAUUAUAAUUUCUCUAUACAGAUGCAAAAAAACUUGAACACAUCAAUGCUCUUAUUUUAAUGGGAUAUAUUCUGAACUCACACACACUUUGCAGUUUACAUGAGUGCAUCCAAAGGGAGUGUGUAUUUGUAAUAAUAAGUCUGACCCUGUUUUCCACCUCAGAUAUCCAGAUACUUAAACCAUCAACAUCACUCUCACGACAUGCUGAACUGCAAAACACAAUGCCAUACUGGUCCUGGAUCUGUCGCAGAGAUAUAAAAUAUCCAGAUACUUAAACCAUCAACAUCACUCUCACGACAUGCUGAACUGCAAAACACAAUGCCAUACUGGUCCUGGAUCUGUCGCAGAGAUAUAAAGUAAGCCAUAUUAGCUAC
Long non-coding RNA from Micropterus salmoides (largemouth bass), 1661 nucleotides. RefSeq lists it as uncharacterized. The record is from RefSeq and is a predicted model, not a curated record. NCBI's taxonomy places the organism in Eukaryota, Metazoa, Chordata, Actinopteri, Centrarchiformes, Centrarchidae. The transcript is spliced from 2 exons.